AACAGGAACUUCAGGUCAGUUUUGGGAAAUUCUUUAUGCUCUAAUCAUUUGAUAUUUGGGGAUACGUUUUCUCGCUGAAACCUCCCUCCUGUUAAAAAUUGACCCCCUGCCUUUUAGUGUUUCCCCAUAAUUCAUAUAAUAAUUAUACACAAGAAACAACAACAUUACCAAUUGAAGCAUUGGUUUAAUUGUAAACGGUCUUUUUCUGCAGACUCUUGUUGACAGCACAUUGAUAGAAAGCGAUAUGGGCGAUGAGCUUGCGAUCUCAGAUGGACUUCAGUCGAAACAGAACAAGCUAGCUUACAUGCCGAUUGAAUCUGACAACUGUGCUUCACCAUAUCAAAUAUUCAAGAUCAUCCGUGAAGCUUAGAAUGUUCUAGGUUCUAUAUGAUUGGCUUCCUCUUGUUCUGUUGUUCAUAACUAUA
RNAcentral lists this long non-coding RNA (425 nucleotides) under Linum usitatissimum (flax). RNAcentral's name for it is "long non-coding RNA (LUSI_LNC005023)". The record is from RNAcentral. Lineage: Eukaryota; Viridiplantae; Streptophyta; Magnoliopsida; Malpighiales; Linaceae.